AAAUAUUAACAUUAAACAAAAUAUGAAAAUAAAAAUUAAAUAAAUUAAAUAAAACAUUAAAGAAUGUAAAAUAUAUUUUUUGGUAUUUUUAUGAAUAAAUAAAAUAUUUUUUAUUAAUUAAAUCAAAACAGAAUAAAAAAGAAUAAAAGAAUUGAAGGAAGUAAAUAAAAAGGAAAUAGUGAUGAUGGGCCUCGUGUGUGGUGGGGGCGGAUAGCAUAUCCAGCGUCAAGCCCAGCCCAGCAGAAAAAGAAAAAAA
RNAcentral lists this long non-coding RNA (256 nucleotides) under Lathyrus oleraceus (garden pea). RNAcentral describes it as "Pisum sativum (pea) long non-coding RNA (PSAT_LNC026137)". The record is from RNAcentral. Lineage: Eukaryota; Viridiplantae; Streptophyta; Magnoliopsida; Fabales; Fabaceae.